This 294-nucleotide ribosomal RNA is filed under the name Triticum aestivum (bread wheat). RNAcentral's name for it is "partial small subunit ribosomal RNA". Lineage: Eukaryota; Viridiplantae; Streptophyta; Magnoliopsida; Poales; Poaceae. The record is from RNAcentral.
AUGGGUUCGUCUCCUUUGUCGGGAGGAUGCUCUUCACCUCUGUCUUCCUCCUCCCCGCCUACCAGGAGUACGCUCUCCUCCCCGCUCCCCCCUCUCGCCCCACCAGAUCUCGUCCGUGCCCCAGACCUGCCACCUCCCGGGGCCGACGCACCGCUCUGCGGUGGAGCCAGGCCCCUAGCUCCUGGUCGUCGGUGCGACGCCCGAGGGUUGGUUUGUGUGGGUGAAUGUGGUGAGAUCCGGUCGGGCGGUGCCUCGGUCUGUCCUGUCUGGGUAGAUCUCGCCGGUGUAGGGUAG